GGCUCAGAACGAACGCUGGCGGCGCGCCUAAUACAUGCAAGUCGAGCGAGAAGACGUAGCAAUACGUUUGUAAAGCGGCGAACGGGUGAGGAAUACAUGGGUAACCUACCCUCGAGUGGGGAAUAACUAGCCGAAAGGUUAGCUAAUACCGCAUACGACUCCUGGUCUGCGGAUCGGGAGAGAAAGCGAUACCGUGGGUAUCGCGCUCUUGGAUGGGCUCAUGUCCUAUCAGCUAGUUGGUGAGGUAACGGCUCACCAAGGCUUUGACGGGUAGCUGGUCUGAGGGGACGAUCAGCCACACUGGCACUGCGACACGGGCCAGACUCCUACGGGAGGCAGCAGUAAGGAAUAUUGCGCAAUGGACGAAAGUCUGACGCAGCGACGCCGCGUGGGGGAUGAAGGUCUUCGGAUUGUAAACCCCUUUCGGGAGGGAAGAUGGAGUGGGUAACCACUUGGACGGUACCUCCAGAAGCAGCCACGGCUAACUUCGUGCCAGCAGCCGCGGUAAUACGAAGGUGGCAAGCGUUGUUCGGAUUCACUGGGCGUACAGGGAGCGUAGGCGGUUGGGUAAGCCCUCCGUGAAAUCUCCGGGCCUAACCCGGAAAGUGCAGAGGGGACUGCUCAGCUAGAGGGUGGGAGAGGAGCGCGGAAUUCCCGGUGUAGCGGUGAAAUGCGUAGAGA
This 681-nucleotide ribosomal RNA is filed under the name uncultured nitrite-oxidizing bacterium. Its description in RNAcentral is "bacterial SSU rRNA". It matches the Rfam family "Bacterial small subunit ribosomal RNA", at positions 21 to 696 of the family's 1533-position model. The record is from RNAcentral.